This 810-nucleotide ribosomal RNA is filed under the name Triticum aestivum (bread wheat). RNAcentral describes it as "partial small subunit ribosomal RNA". The record is from RNAcentral. Lineage: Eukaryota; Viridiplantae; Streptophyta; Magnoliopsida; Poales; Poaceae.
AUGAAAGAGUUGGGAUUGAGAGAGGAGGACUUGGACGAUGUGAUCUUCGACGAGCAAGCUGCGCCGCCGGAGGGACCGAGAUGGGUAGCCUUAGCUAGGGUUAACACCACGAAGAACUAUAGCCAGACUUGGUUUUACAAAAACAUGAGAGCGGCAUGGGAUAUCGCACAGGAGGCUAAGUUUAAACCUCUGGAGGAAAACCUGUAUACUAUCCAAUUCACUUGCCUUGGUGAUUGGGAGAGAGUUAUGAACGAUGGCCCAUGGAACUUUAGAGGGGACGCGGUGAUUCUUCUGCCGUAUGAUGGAAUCUCAAAGCCUUCCACUGUCAAGCUUGAGACAAUCAAGAAAUGGAUUCAAAUCCAUGAUGUACCAGACCUGUAUGCUCAUCUGGUGGCUCCGCUGGCAGCAAAAGUGGGAGAAGUUGUAUUCUCAGAACCGAACUCACAUGACUUUGUUGGCAAUUUUCAUCGAGUUUGGGUCAGCAUCAAUGUCCAUAAACCUCUAAAGAAUGCGAUAUCUAUGAUUAGAGAUGGGAAGAGACAGAUAUACAGAGUUAAGUAUGAAAAGCUCCCGGACUGGUGCGCGGUUUGUGGCAUGCUAGGUCACCUAUAUAAGGAACACGGAAAUGCUAUCCAUCCUCCAUCAUCACUUGUGUUCAAAGAUCUCCGAGCCAGCUGGCUAUGCGUUCGGGUCGUGGCCCGGGCAAAGGCCGCAGCCAGAGGGGUGGACGUAGAGGAGGCCGGUCAGGGGGCGUUCAAGCGGCCGCUCAGAGGGAAGCUGAGGCGACAUGACAGAAGAAUAUGCUCAUAG